UGUAGGAGCGAGCUUGCUCGCGAUCCAGGCACUGCGGUCUGCCCUGGAACCGCAGAGACGCCAUCGCGAGCAAGCUCGCUCCUACA
Molecule: unclassified non-coding RNA, 86 nt
Filed under: Pseudomonas chlororaphis
Lineage: Bacteria; Pseudomonadati; Pseudomonadota; Gammaproteobacteria; Pseudomonadales; Pseudomonadaceae
Source: RNAcentral